This is a long non-coding RNA of Vitis vinifera (wine grape), 471 nucleotides long. RefSeq lists it as uncharacterized. The record is from RefSeq and is a predicted model, not a curated record. The transcript has 2 exons. Lineage: Eukaryota; Viridiplantae; Streptophyta; Magnoliopsida; Vitales; Vitaceae.
CCACCAUGUGAGACUUCUGAGAUGUAUAAUGAAAAUAGCUUGUGGGUUUUGCUUGGUUAUGGGUUAAUUUUUGUCGGUGAACCUCAGUAUGGGAGAAUCUGUUAAGCUCAGGAGGGAUAGCGCCAUGAGCCAUGAUGAAAAUGAUUGUUGAGUUGAAAAUUUUUUCUAGCUUGUUUUUUGGGUCAUCAUUUUGUGUGUGUGGCGCUAUCUAUCCUGAGUUUCACGGGUUCUUCUUACUAUCUCUGGUGCAGUUUCAGCUUCAAGGACGAUAUUGAGUAUUUGGUAGGGUAAGGAUGAGCUGUGGCUGUGAUCUCCUGUCAAAGAGCUGAAUCUUGCGGAUGCACCUUUGGUGUUUCUUUUUUUUUUCUUUUUUCUUUCUGUUCCUUUUAACCUAGAAUCAAGCUCUUCUGAUUAUGUCUUUCUUUUUGUUUUGAUUUGAGCAGGGUGCUGAUAUCAAAAUAAGUGAUGUCA